UACGGAGGGGGCGAGCGUUAUUCGGAAUUAUUGGGCGUAAAGGGCGCGUAGGCGGCCUUUCAAGUGACGGGUGAAAUCCCUCGGCUUAACCGAGGAACUGCCUGUCAGACUGGAAGGCUUGAGACCGGGAGAGGUGAGUGGAAUUCCCAGUGUAGCGGUGAAAUGCGUAGAUAUUGGGAGGAACACCAGUGGCGAAGGCGGCUCACUGGACCGGUACUGACGCUGAGGCGCGAAAGCGUGGGGAGCAAACAGG
RNAcentral lists this ribosomal RNA (253 nucleotides) under uncultured bacterium. RNAcentral's name for it is "partial 16S ribosomal RNA". It matches the Rfam family "Bacterial small subunit ribosomal RNA", at positions 524 to 776 of the family's 1533-position model. The record is from RNAcentral.